Molecule: unclassified non-coding RNA, 359 nt
Filed under: uncultured fungus
Lineage: Eukaryota; Fungi
Description: partial contains 5.8S ribosomal RNA, internal transcribed spacer 2, and large subunit ribosomal RNA
Source: RNAcentral
AACGCAAAUGGCGCUCUCUGGUAUCCCGGGGAGCAUGCCUGUUUGAGAACCGUAGGAGAAAGUCAUUGGAAGGAUUCCGCAACGGUUUUCUUCUGGUGGAAUUGGAUUACCGGCGAGCUGUGCUUGCUCUGUGAUCCUAAAGACAUGUUUGUUGUUUGUGUAGGGUCGUGUGGGAAAGGACCCAUACCCUAAGGCGAGGAUAAGUAAGAAGGGGAGAGAGAGAGGCAGUUUUCUGCUUUUCUUGAAGCCCUUUCUCUUUUUCACGACAGCCGAUAGGGAUUUUUGGGAAAAAAAGGCCUUUUUCCACUCACACCCCGAAACAUGGUCUCAAAUCAGGCAAGAGAACCCGCUGAACUUAA